GAUGAACGCUGGCGGCGUGCCUAAUACAUGCAAGUCGAGCGAACGGACGAGAAGCUUGCUUGUCUGAUGUUAGCGGCGGACGGGUGAGUAACACGUGGAUAACCUACCUAUAAGACUGGGAUAACUUCGGGAAACCGGAGCUAAUACCGGAUAAUAUUUUGAACCGCAUGGUUCAAAAGUGAAAGACGGUCUUGCUGUCACUUAUAGAUGGAUCCGCGCUGCAUUAGCUAGUUGGUAAGGUAACGGCUUACCAAGGCAACGAUGCAUAGCCGACCUGAGAGGGUGAUCGGCCACACUGGAACUGAGACACGGUCCAGACUCCUACGGGAGGCAGCAGUAGGGAAUCUUCCGCAAAGGGCGAAAGCCUGACGGAGCAACGCCGCGUGAGUGAUGAAGGUCUUCGGAUCGUAAAACUCUGUUAUUAGGGAAGAACAUAUGUGUAAGUAACUGUGCACAUCUUGACGGUACCUAAUCAGAAAGCCACGGCUAACUACGUG
This 497-nucleotide ribosomal RNA is filed under the name uncultured bacterium. RNAcentral's name for it is "partial 16S ribosomal RNA". It matches the Rfam family "Bacterial small subunit ribosomal RNA", at positions 28 to 507 of the family's 1533-position model. The record is from RNAcentral.